Molecule: ribosomal RNA, 497 nt
Filed under: uncultured bacterium
Lineage: Bacteria
Description: partial 16S ribosomal RNA
Rfam family: Bacterial small subunit ribosomal RNA
Source: RNAcentral
GACGAACGCUGGCGGCGUGCCUAAUACAUGCAAGUCGAGCGCUGAAGGUUGGUACUUGUUCCAACUGGAUGAGCAGCGAACGGGUGAGUAACGCGUGGGGAAUCUGCCUUUGAGCGGGGGACAACAUUUGGAAACGAAUGCUAAUACCGCAUAAAAACUUUAAACACAAGUUUUAAGUUUGAAAGAUGCAAUUGCAUCACUCAAAGAUGAUCCCGCGUUGUAUUAGCUAGUUGGUGAGGUAAAGGCCCACCAAGGCGAUGAUACAUAGCCGACCUGAGAGGGGGGUCGGCCACAUUGGGACUGGGGCACGGCCCAAACUCCUACGGGAGGCAGCAGUAGGGGAACUUCGGCAAUGGACGGAAGUCUGACCGGGCAACGCCGCGGGGGGGGAGGAGGGUUUCGGAUCGUAAAACUCUUUUGGUAGAGGAGAACGUUGGUGGGAGUGGAAAGCUCAUCAAGUGACGGUAACUACCCAGAAAGGGACGGCUAACUACGUG